CGAAAGCCUGACGGAGCAAUACCGCGUGAGGGAGGAAGGCUCUUGGGUCGUAAACCUCUUUUCUCAGGGAAGAACACAAUGACGGUACCUGAGGAAUAAGCAUCGGCUAACUCCGUGCCAGCAGCCGCGGUAAUACGGAGGAUGCAAGCGUUAUCCGGAAUGAUUGGGCGUAAAGCGUCCGCAGGUGGCAAUGUAAGUCUGCUGUUAAAGAGUCUAGCUCAACUAGAUAAGAGCAGUGGAAACUACAUAGCUAGAGUACGUUCGGGGCAGAGGGAAUUCCUGGUGUAGCGGUGAAAUGCGUAGAGAUCAGGAAGAACACCGGUGGCGAAGGCGCUCUGCUAGGCCGUAACUGACACUGAGGGACGAAAGCUAGGGGAGCG
This 380-nucleotide ribosomal RNA is filed under the name uncultured cyanobacterium. RNAcentral describes it as "bacterial SSU rRNA". It matches the Rfam family "Bacterial small subunit ribosomal RNA", at positions 376 to 770 of the family's 1533-position model. Lineage: Bacteria; Bacillati; Cyanobacteriota. The record is from RNAcentral.